AUUAGUCCUCCUUCUCAACAUGGCGCAAUCGAUUAACAUCACGGAGCUGAAUCUGCUGCAGCUAGAAAUGCUCAAAAACCAGCUAGACCAGGAAGCGGAGUUCUUGUCCAAGUCCAUUGCCCAGCACAAAGUGGUACAGACCAAGUAUGUGGAAGCCAAGGACUGUCUGAACGUGCUGAACAAGAGCAACGAGGAUGUAUGUCCCUGGGAAGCUGCAUGAUGUGGAGCAUGUGCUCAUCGAUGUGGGAACUGGGUACUAUGUAGAGAAGACAGCUGAGGAUGCCAAGGACUUCUUCAAGAGGAAGAUAGAUUUUCUAACCAAGCAGACGGAGAAAAUCCAACCAGCUCUCCAGGAGAAGCACACCAUGAAACAGGCUGUCAUGGAAAUGAUGAGCCAGAAGAUUCAGCAGCUCACAGCCCUGGGGGCAGCUCAGGCUACUGCUAAGGCCCGAGAGUUUUUGCAGAAAUGGGGCAGAAGGACACCCUUUGGGUGUGGAUUCCUGGUGCUGGAAAGGGAAGGGUCUUGUGUUUAAUGCCAAUAAAUGUGCCAGCUGGGCA
Molecule: RNA transcript, 558 nt
Organism: Cebus imitator (Panamanian white-faced capuchin)
Lineage: Eukaryota; Metazoa; Chordata; Mammalia; Primates; Cebidae
Gene name: prefoldin subunit 5-like
Exons: 1
Source: RefSeq, a predicted model, not a curated record